Molecule: ribosomal RNA, 650 nt
Filed under: Streptomonospora sp. YIM 90599
Lineage: Bacteria; Bacillati; Actinomycetota; Actinomycetes; Streptosporangiales; Nocardiopsidaceae
Description: bacterial SSU rRNA
Rfam family: Bacterial small subunit ribosomal RNA
Source: RNAcentral
GCUGGCGGCGUGCUUAACACAUGCAAGUCGAGCGGUAAGGCCCUUCGGGGUACACGAGCGGCGAACGGGUGAGUAACACGUGAGCAACCUGCCCCUGACUCCGGGAUAAGCCGGGGAAACCCGGUCUAAUACCGGAUGGGACGCCUCGUCGCAUGGCGGGGUGUGGAAAGGUGUCUUUCCGGUCAGGGAGGGGCUCGCGGCCUAUCAGCUUGUUGGUGGGGUGAAGGCCUACCAAGGCGAUUACGGGUAGCCGGCCUGAGAGGGCGACCGGCCACACUGGGACUGAGACACGGCCCAGACUCCUACGGGAGGCAGCAGUGGGGAAUAUUGCGCAAUGGGCGGAAGCCUGACGCAGCGACGCCGCGUGGGGGAUGACGGCCUUCGGGUUGUAAACCUCUUUUACCACCGACGCAGGCCCGCGCUUCUGUGCGGGUUGACGGUAGGUGGGGAAUAAGGACCGGCCAACUACGUGCCAGCAGCCGCGGUAAUACGUAGGGUCCGAGCGUUGUCCGGAAUUAUUGGGCGUAAAGAGCUCGUAGGUGGCGUGUCGCGUCUGCUGUGUAAGUCCGGGGCUUAACUCCGGUUUUGCAGUGGAUACGGGCAUGCUAGAGGUAGGCAGGGGAGACUGGAAUUCCUGGUGUAGCGGUGAA